RNAcentral lists this ribosomal RNA (2415 nucleotides) under Escherichia coli. RNAcentral's name for it is "partial 23S ribosomal RNA". It matches the Rfam family "Bacterial large subunit ribosomal RNA", at positions 398 to 2798 of the family's 2925-position model. The record is from RNAcentral. Lineage: Bacteria; Pseudomonadati; Pseudomonadota; Gammaproteobacteria; Enterobacterales; Enterobacteriaceae.
UGUGAGCUCGAUGAGUAGGGCGGGACACGUGGUAUCCUGUCUGAAUAUGGGGGGACCAUCCUCCAAGGCUAAAUACUCCUGACUGACCGAUAGUGAACCAGUACCGUGAGGGAAAGGCGAAAAGAACCCCGGCGAGGGGAGUGAAAAAGAACCUGAAACCGUGUACGUACAAGCAGUGGGAGCACGCUUAGGCGUGUGACUGCGUACCUUUUGUAUAAUGGGUCAGCGACUUAUAUUCUGUAGCAAGGUUAACCGAAUAGGGGAGCCGAAGGGAAACCGAGUCUUAACUGGGCGUUAAGUUGCAGGGUAUAGACCCGAAACCCGGUGAUCUAGCCAUGGGCAGGUUGAAGGUUGGGUAACACUAACUGGAGGACCGAACCGACUAAUGUUGAAAAAUUAGCGGAUGACUUGUGGCUGGGGGUGAAAGGCCAAUCAAACCGGGAGAUAGCUGGUUCUCCCCGAAAGCUAUUUAGGUAGCGCCUCGUGAAUUCAUCUCCGGGGGUAGAGCACUGUUUCGGCAAGGGGGUCAUCCCGACUUACCAACCCGAUGCAAACUGCGAAUACCGGAGAAUGUUAUCACGGGAGACACACGGCGGGUGCUAACGUCCGUCGUGAAGAGGGAAACAACCCAGACCGCCAGCUAAGGUCCCAAAGUCAUGGUUAAGUGGGAAACGAUGUGGGAAGGCCCAGACAGCCAGGAUGUUGGCUUAGAAGCAGCCAUCAUUUAAAGAAAGCGUAAUAGCUCACUGGUCGAGUCGGCCUGCGCGGAAGAUGUAACGGGGCUAAACCAUGCACCGAAGCUGCGGCAGCGACGCUUAUGCGUUGUUGGGUAGGGGAGCGUUCUGUAAGCCUGUGAAGGUGUGCUGUGAGGCAUGCUGGAGGUAUCAGAAGUGCGAAUGCUGACAUAAGUAACGAUAAAGCGGGUGAAAAGCCCGCUCGCCGGAAGACCAAGGGUUCCUGUCCAACGUUAAUCGGGGCAGGGUGAGUCGACCCCUAAGGCGAGGCCGAAAGGCGUAGUCGAUGGGAAACAGGUUAAUAUUCCUGUACUUGGUGUUACUGCGAAGGGGGGACGGAGAAGGCUAUGUUGGCCGGGCGACGGUUGUCCCGGUUUAAGCGUGUAGGCUGGUUUUCCAGGCAAAUCCGGAAAAUCAAGGCUGAGGCGUGAUGACGAGGCACUACGGUGCUGAAGCAACAAAUGCCCUGCUUCCAGGAAAAGCCUCUAAGCAUCAGGUAACAUCAAAUCGUACCCCAAACCGACACAGGUGGUCAGGUAGAGAAUACCAAGGCGCUUGAGAGAACUCGGGUGAAGGAACUAGGCAAAAUGGUGCCGUAACUUCGGGAGAAGGCACGCUGAUAUGUAGGUGAAGCGACUUGCUCGUGGAGCUGAAAUCAGUCGAAGAUACCAGCUGGCUGCAACUGUUUAUUAAAAACACAGCACUGUGCAAACACGAAAGUGGACGUAUACGGUGUGACGCCUGCCCGGUGCCGGAAGGUUAAUUGAUGGGGUCAGCGCAAGCGAAGCUCUUGAUCGAAGCCCCGGUAAACGGCGGCCGUAACUAUAACGGUCCUAAGGUAGCGAAAUUCCUUGUCGGGUAAGUUCCGACCUGCACGAAUGGCGUAAUGAUGGCCAGGCUGUCUCCACCCGAGACUCAGUGAAAUUGAACUCGCUGUGAAGAUGCAGUGUACCCGCGGCAAGACGGAAAGACCCCGUGAACCUUUACUAUAGCUUGACACUGAACAUUGAGCCUUGAUGUGUAGGAUAGGUGGGAGGCUUUGAAGUGUGGACGCCAGUCUGCAUGGAGCCGACCUUGAAAUACCACCCUUUAAUGUUUGAUGUUCUAACGUUGACCCGUAAUCCGGGUUGCGGACAGUGUCUGGUGGGUAGUUUGACUGGGGCGGUCUCCUCCUAAAGAGUAACGGAGGAGCACGAAGGUUGGCUAAUCCUGGUCGGACAUCAGGAGGUUAGUGCAAUGGCAUAAGCCAGCUUGACUGCGAGCGUGACGGCGCGAGCAGGUGCGAAAGCAGGUCAUAGUGAUCCGGUGGUUCUGAAUGGAAGGGCCAUCGCUCAACGGAUAAAAGGUACUCCGGGGAUAACAGGCUGAUACCGCCCAAGAGUUCAUAUCGACGGCGGUGUUUGGCACCUCGAUGUCGGCUCAUCACAUCCUGGGGCUGAAGUAGGUCCCAAGGGUAUGGCUGUUCGCCAUUUAAAGUGGUACGCGAGCUGGGUUUAGAACGUCGUGAGACAGUUCGGUCCCUAUCUGCCGUGGGCGCUGGAGAACUGAGGGGGGCUGCUCCUAGUACGAGAGGACCGGAGUGGACGCAUCACUGGUGUUCGGGUUGUCAUGCCAAUGGCACUGCCCGGUAGCUAAAUGCGGAAGAGAUAAGUGCUGAAAGCAUCUAAGCACGAAACUUGCC